AGAACUUAAAGAAACUCAAGAAUCGUCAA
RNAcentral lists this small RNA (29 nucleotides) under Arabidopsis thaliana (thale cress). RNAcentral describes it as "ATSL073720". The record is from RNAcentral. Lineage: Eukaryota; Viridiplantae; Streptophyta; Magnoliopsida; Brassicales; Brassicaceae.